RNAcentral lists this ribosomal RNA (1000 nucleotides) under Oceanobacillus caeni. RNAcentral describes it as "bacterial SSU rRNA". It matches the Rfam family "Bacterial small subunit ribosomal RNA", at positions 420 to 1399 of the family's 1533-position model. The record is from RNAcentral. Lineage: Bacteria; Bacillati; Bacillota; Bacilli; Caryophanales; Bacillaceae.
UCGUUAUAAACUCCUGUUUGCUAGCGAAGGAGCAGGUCUGGUUAGUUAAUUGACUUGUAUCCUUGUCGGUACACUAGACAGAAGACCACGCUAUCUUCGUGUGCAGCAGCGGCGUUAUUUAUGUUGGAUGGGCGCGCGUUUUCAUCAUUAUUUGGGGGUACAGCGCUCGCGCGCGUUUUUUUUUGUGUGAUAUGAAAACCCCCCGGCUUACCCCCGGAGGAGUCAUUUUUAAACUGGAGGAGUUGAGAGCAGAGGAGGAGAGGGUAAAUUCCUCUGUGUGGCGGGGAAAUGUGCGGAGAUAUGGAAGAAACAUCCGUGUCGAAGGCGCCUCUCUCGUGUGUGAUUGUCGCUGAGGAGUGAGAGCGUGUGUAGCGAACAGGAUAAUAUAUCCUGGUAUUGCACGCCCUAAAAGAGGAGUGUUAGGUGUGAUGGGGUCUCCGCCCCUUAGCUUUGAAAGUUAACCGCAUUAAAGCACUCCCCCCUGGGGAGUACGGCCCGCAAGGAUUAAAACUCAAAAGAAUUGACGGGGACCCCGCACCAGCGGUGGAGCAUGUGGUUUUAAUUUGAAGCAACGCGGAGAACCUUACCAGGUCUUGACAUCCUUUCGACCUCCCUAGAGAUAGGGAUUGCUUCGGGACGAAAGACCAUGUGGUGCAUGGUUGUCGUCAGCUCGUUCGAAAUAUUGUGUUAUAAGUCCCGCAACGAGCGCCCCCCUUGAUCUUAGUUGCCAGCAUUAAGUUGGGCACUCCAAGGUGACUGCCGGUGACAAACCGGAGGAAGGUGGGGAUGACGUCAAAUCAUCAUCCCCUUAUGACCUGGGCUACACACGUGCUACAAUGGAUCAUCAAAGGGCAGCGAAACUUCAAGGUCAAGCAAAUCCCAUAAAACCAGUUCAGUUCGGAUUUAGUUGCAAUCCCUACAUGAAGCUGGAACGCUAGUAAUUCGGGAUCACAAGCCGCGGUGAAUACGUUCCCCGGGUCCUUGUUCCAACAACCGGCCC